Molecule: unclassified non-coding RNA, 200 nt
Filed under: Hevea brasiliensis (rubber tree)
Lineage: Eukaryota; Viridiplantae; Streptophyta; Magnoliopsida; Malpighiales; Euphorbiaceae
Source: RNAcentral
CCUAUAUGUAGCCGACUUUUGAAUCAAGAAAUAUUGAGGGCCUCUGGAAUGAUGUCCAACCAGGGGUUAAGUGACUUUGAUAGACUGCAACGUGGAAGCUUGAGCCCUAUGGCUUCUUCAGACAUGUUGCCAAAUAAUAGAGGAACAGGGAUAAUUGGGUGGAAUGGGCUGCCGAAUGAGAGAUUAGGAAUGCAGGGGUG